UACACACUAAAUCAAAACCUCUCAAUAUCUAAACCUAAGCUUAUUGUGAGUGAUUUUUACUUCCUUUUUUCAAGGUGAGAGGAUCAUAAAUAAUAUUUCCAGAACUCUCUCCUUCCUACCACCACUGUCCCAAGCACACCAAGGCUAAUAUCUGCUCUUCUUUCCUUAUCUCCAGGAUAAGAUGGUCAGAAACCAAACUUUAGGAGAUUUAAACUCACCCACAUAGAACACAAGGAGGAAAUGUGAAGACAAUAACCAACACAGAAACAGGCAGUAAGCUGAGGUCAAAGGUCACCAAGCAGAGGAAGCCAAGAAACAGAAAGAAGCAAACAACAAUAAGAUGCAAUGGAAAGGGAGUGGAUUGGAGAUUGUGAAAUGUCUUGAAUGGAAGACCAUAAUUUUGGAAGGCUGGAAACUGCAAAAGUGAAGAUUUUUGACAGUUUUCACACUGAUUACCUUCAGGCCUUUAUGAGAAAAUGGCAUUUCAUUUGAAAUGUGAAGGAUGAAGAGGAGUGGAUGACAAGUCAUAGACAUGCACCAGGAAGAGGAUUCCAGACAGAAGGAGCCAUUGUGAAGUGAGAAUGAACAUGGUGUGCUGGACAGACAGGAAGUGACUUCUCAAUUUGACAGAACUUUAAAAUCAGAGGUGCCUUCAGUUCAUUCUUCAAAUGCUCUUUACAAUUCUUCAGAUCUUUAAUUUCUUUAAAAUAGAACUUGCAAGUAAAGAAUACCAUGCCAUCCUUCCACUCAGAUAGGAAAGGAGGCAUUAGAUAUUAAAUACUUGUCACACAUCCCUCUUAGCUCUUUUAAAAACUGUGAGAUACACAUCCUAGCUCCUUAUUUAUGGACAGCCAUACCCCGGCACCUACUUACAAAUGCUCUUGUUACUUUACUGUAGAUAAAUCCAAAUAUCUAAUGAAAAUCAUCUAACUUAAGAGACCAAAACCAAGCUGUUCUAAGAAUGUGUGCUGAAGCAGAAACGAUAACGUGCCAUUCAGAAUUCAGUCGAAGGUUUUCAUGUCCUUCCGCAUGACAUAUGUGGGAUCUAAGAACUGAGAGAGUUGAGUGAGCAUGAAAAGAACACUUUUAAAGACUCUGUUCCUGCUUCUCCCUCCACCUCCCAGCAUUGCAGAAGCACAAAUAAGAGAGGGGACUUGUGGAUUGAGCAUGAGUACCAAUACAGCACUUUUAAGUGCUAUUUCCCCCUUUGAGCAUCAGUGAAUCUAAGAGCUAAGAAAAGGAGAGAGUGCAGGUGUAUAACCUUCCACUUGUUCUCUCUCCAAAAACCCUCUGAGGUGCUUUCUUCUCCCUCUUUCCUUAUGAUUUCAUAUUUAAUAUAUGAUCAGUAGAAAGAAGGGAAAAGGCUGUCAACUCAGGAUAAAAAAAAAAAAACAACUAGUUCUACCUGCCUCCUUCCUUUUUUUUUUUUUUUCCCAGAAAAUCUAGCAUUUGUUUUUAGAUCAAAGGCCCAUGUGGAGAAAGGUAUACACUAAAGAGCUGAGGGGAAUGUGAGGGGUGAUGUUUAUGGGCAAAAUCGGGCCAUGUGGUUAUAAGACCCAUGGUAUCACAUAAAAAUGGGGACUUAAGGUAUAUGUUAAUGGUUAAAAUGUGUAACUCCCCUAUAUUGCUUUACUAAAUCCACAUAUCAACCUAUGAUGAUUUAAUCUUAGUCAGUAGUGAUUCAUAUUCAUUCAGGCACAUUUCUUAAAUUUUUUAUCAAUAUUAACUUAAUGAAAUAGAGUGGAAGGUAGUUUACUUAUAAUGUCUGGGAAAGGCUUGAUCUAGUUAAUGAUAUUUCUGGAGUUCAGCUGUCAUAAGUCCAAAGGAACACUGUCCAGUCAUAUAAUGUAAGCCACAUAUACUUUUUAAAAAUGUUGUAGCCACAUUAAAAAUGUAACAAUAAAUAAAU
Molecule: long non-coding RNA, 1909 nt
Organism: Camelus dromedarius (Arabian camel)
Lineage: Eukaryota; Metazoa; Chordata; Mammalia; Artiodactyla; Camelidae
Exons: 4
Source: RefSeq, a predicted model, not a curated record